GAUAAAAUGGCUGAGGGUAGGCGAUAAAUUGUAAAUUUAUUAACGAGUUAUAUAUCUCUUUUAUUA
This 66-nucleotide transfer RNA is filed under the name Zaranga tukuringra. Its description in RNAcentral is "tRNA-Tyr". It matches the Rfam family "tRNA". Rfam says of the family: Transfer RNA (tRNA) molecules are approximately 80 nucleotides in length. Lineage: Eukaryota; Metazoa; Arthropoda; Insecta; Lepidoptera; Notodontidae. The record is from RNAcentral.